Molecule: long non-coding RNA, 1073 nt
Organism: Armigeres subalbatus
Lineage: Eukaryota; Metazoa; Arthropoda; Insecta; Diptera; Culicidae
Exons: 3
Source: RefSeq, a predicted model, not a curated record
AAUUAUUUCAUCUUAAAAAAAAAUGGAAAUUCUUUCAUUUUCAGGAGGGACGACGGGGUAUUGUAACCGUUGGUUACAUUCCUAACUUGUGGCUCCACCACAAUUCCAAAUCAAUCCCUCCCACGACUAGAUACCCCCGAUUCAAAUAUGAAUACAGUAUCAUAAAAUGAGACAGUUGGCACUCACGCAGUGACCUGAUGCCUGUUUCACUCUCACGGCCAUCCGUCACGCUGCAGUGACAGGUCAGUGUCGAGCAGUUUGAGCAGAGGCAAAAGAUACACAGCCCUGUUGUAAUCGCGUCGAGCCCACAGAUGGAGCGCAAGUGUUAUGCUCUACAGGCUGUAAAAACAUAAUGCGAACAACAUUAUUAAUAUUUUAUCGGAUUUUUGUAUAAAAAGCCCGUCAUUCCCUACAGCUGGCUCUUUGGCUGAACUUUUCUAGAAAGGUCUAGAAGUGCGCGCGUGUGUAGAUUUGUAUUAAAUUAAGAGGUUCAGUUAGUUUGUAUAAUUGCUAGCACUGAUAGAAAUUGUUAGUAAUGUGUUAGUAGCAGUUACAGUUGUUAAAAAUAUGUAUGUACAGUGUUAAUGAGUGUUAGUAUAAAGCUAAAACUAUUUCUAUAUUUAGUUCUUAGUUAAAACACGUUGAAAAGCAAACAACACAACAAAGAAAACGUUAAAACCUACAAGAAAAAGGUCCAAAGCAUGGGCCUUUUUCUAUGUUUUUGAACUACUCUCCAGCAACCUCGGUGGCGAGAAUGGCCACAGAGCGUCGGCCUUAGCAGCGCACCGUUGUGUCAUCAGCCAAAUCUGCCAUUGUCCAUGGCAUCCCGAAGGUUCAUCGCAAAGGAACCACGAAAUCCGGCCGUACUUCACGAUUCCGAAGUCCCGCCGUCAGAUUACGUCACCAAAGUAGAGACGUCAUGCCGCCAAUGAUCGCUAGCGCCUGUCGCUAGGAAAAACGCUUCCGAUGCCACUAUCCGCCAUCUUCGUCAGCAUCUGCUGAACUGGUUCAUCGUAGUUCCGAAUGGACUAUCAGUGUACGGGACCGGAGGUUCCCAAUCUAAACCGCAAGUA